RNAcentral lists this ribosomal RNA (433 nucleotides) under uncultured bacterium. RNAcentral's name for it is "partial 16S ribosomal RNA". It matches the Rfam family "Bacterial small subunit ribosomal RNA", at positions 29 to 507 of the family's 1533-position model. The record is from RNAcentral.
AACGAACGCUGGCGGCAUGCCUAACACAUGCAAGUCGAACGAGACCUUCGGGUCUAGUGGCGCACGGGUGCGUAACGCGUGGGAACCUGCCCUUAGGUUCGGAAUAACUCACCGAAAGGGGUGCUAAUACCGGAUAAUGUCUUCGGACCAAAGAUUUAUCGCCUUUGGAUGGGCCCGCGUUGGAUUAGCUAGUUGGUAGGGUAAAAGCCUACCAAGGCGACGAUCCAUAGCUGGUCUGAGAGGAUGAUCAGCCACACUGGGACUGAGACACGGCCCAGACUCCUACGGGAGGCAGCAGUGUGGAAUAUUGGACAAUGGGCGAAAGCCUGAUCCAGCAAUGCCGCGUGAGUGAUGAAGGCCUUAGGGUUGUAAAGCUCUUUUACCCGGGAUGAUAAUGACAGUACCGGGAGAAUAAGCUCCGGCUAACUCCGUG